RNAcentral lists this ribosomal RNA (324 nucleotides) under uncultured soil bacterium. Its description in RNAcentral is "bacterial SSU rRNA". It matches the Rfam family "Bacterial small subunit ribosomal RNA", at positions 27 to 354 of the family's 1533-position model. The record is from RNAcentral.
GAUUGAACGCUGGCGGCAGGCCUAACACAUGCAAGUCGAGCGGUAGAGAGGUGCUUGCAUCUCUUGAGAGCGGCGGACGGGUGAGUAAUGCCUAGGAAUCUGCCUAGUGGUGGGGGAUAACGUUCGGAAACGGACGCUAAUACCGCAUACGUCCUACGGGAGAAAGCGGGGGACCUUCGGGCCUCGCGCCAUUAGAUGAGUCUAGGUCGGAUUAGCUAGUUGGUGAGGUAAUGGCUCACCAAGGCGACGAUCCUUAGCUGGUCUGAGAGGAUGAUCAGCCACACUGGGACUGAGACACGGCCCAGACUCCUACGGGAGCAGCAG